This 338-nucleotide long non-coding RNA is filed under the name Elaeis guineensis (African oil palm). RNAcentral's name for it is "long non-coding RNA (EGUI_LNC060709)". The record is from RNAcentral. Lineage: Eukaryota; Viridiplantae; Streptophyta; Magnoliopsida; Arecales; Arecaceae.
GGUACCAUUACUAAAUCAUCAUUUUGAUUGGUAUAAAAAUUUAUUCUUAUGCUACCGACUUAAGUUCGGACCUAUGAGAUCACACAUAUUAGAGUUCAUGAUCCGAUCAGAUGGUUGAUCAACGAUUAAGAAUCGUUCUAGGGUUAAAUGAUCAAUACGAUUGACAUUUAACCUAGUGCAAGUGUUGUAGGAGGAUCGAUUAGCAAUUUGAUUGCUAAUUGGCUUAAUUUGAUUAAGCCAAUGGGCUGAGAUUAAGUCUAAUUGAAUAUGAUUUAAUUAGAUUUAGUUUGGGCUUGAUUGGAUCAAGUCCAAUUGAUUUAUUGGAUAAACCAAGUGCA